RNAcentral lists this ribosomal RNA (88 nucleotides) under Flavobacterium supellecticarium. Its description in RNAcentral is "Bacterial large subunit ribosomal RNA". It matches the Rfam family "Bacterial large subunit ribosomal RNA", at positions 2836 to 2925 of the family's 2925-position model. Lineage: Bacteria; Pseudomonadati; Bacteroidota; Flavobacteriia; Flavobacteriales; Flavobacteriaceae. The record is from Rfam by way of RNAcentral.
CGUGGAAGAUGACCACGUUGAUAGGCUAUAGAUGUAAAGGCAGUAAUGUCAUAGUCGAGUAGUACUAAUAACCCGUAAGCUUAUGUAC